Molecule: ribosomal RNA, 2793 nt
Filed under: hot springs metagenome
Description: bacterial LSU rRNA
Rfam family: Bacterial large subunit ribosomal RNA
Source: RNAcentral
AGGGCGCACGGUGGAUACCUAGGCACACAGAGGCGAGGAAGGGCGUGCUACCGACGAAACGCUGCGGGGAGCUGGAAGGAAGCGGUGAUCCGCAGGUACCCGAAUGGGGCAACCCGGCAAGGCGAGAGCCUUGUCACCCUUAGCUGAAUCCAUAGGCUAAGGGGGCGAACGCGGCGAACUGAAACAUCUUAGUAGCCGCAGGAAGAGAAAACAACCGUGAUUUCCUCAGUAGCGGCGAGCGAACGGGAAAGAGCCUAAACCGCUUAGCUACGGCUAGGCGGGGUUGUGGGACGGCCAGAAGGUAGCCGGAAGGCUAGGCGAAGCAGCUGGAAUGCUGCACCAGAGAAGGUGAAAGUCCUGUAGCCGAAAGCUGGAAGGCGCCGGCCGGAUCCCGAGUAGCACGGGGCAGGUGAAAUCCCGUGUGAAUCAGCGAGAACCAUCUCGCAAGGCUAAAUACUCCUGUGUGACCGAUAGUGAACCAGUACCGUGAGGGAAAGGUGAAAAGAACCCCGGGAGGGGAGUGAAAGAGAGCAUGAAACCGUGUGCCUACAAGCAGUGGGAGCCCGAUUGAACGGGUGACCGCGUGCCUGUUGAAGAAUGAGCCAGCGAGUUACAGCGUGGGGCAGGUUAAGGCGGGAAUGCCGGAGCCAAAGGGAAACCGAGUCUGAAUAGGGCGUUGGUCGCACGCUGUAGACCCGAACCUGGGUGAUCUAACCAUGGCCAGGCUGAAGCUUGGGUAAAGCCAAGUGGAGGGCCGAACCGGUUGAUGUUGCACAAUCAUCGGAUGAGCUGUGGUUAGGGGUGAAAUGCCAAUCGAACCCAGAGCUAGCUGGUUCUCCCCGAAAUGCGUUGAGGCGCAGCGUCGACAGGUACCUGGUGGGGUAGAGCACUGAAUCGGUGCGGGCGGCGAGAGCUGUACCAAAUCGAACCAAACUGCGAAUACGCCAGGGUUAGUCGGCAGUGAGACGGUGGGGGAUAAGCUCCAUCGUCGAGAGGGAAACAGCCCAGACCACCAACUAAGGCCCCCAAGACAUCGCUCAGUGGUUAAGGAGGUGGGGGUGCGAAGACAACCAGGAGGUUGGCUUAGAAGCAGCCACCCUUUAAACAGUGCGUAACAGCUGACUGGUCAAGCGCCCUUGCGCCGAAAAUGAACGGGACUAAGCGAUGCGCCGAAGUUGUGGAUUGGAUGGUAGGGGAGCGUUCCGCACUAGGGUGAAGCGGUAGCGUGAGCAGCCGUGGACGAGGCGGAAGUGAGAAUGUUGGCUUGAGUAGCGCAAACAUUGGUGAGAAUCCAAUGCCCCGAAAACCCAAGGGUUCCCCCGGAAGGUUCGUCCGCGGGGGGUUAGUCGGGACCUAAGGCGAGGCCGACAGGCGUAGUCGAUGGAGACAGGGUUGAUAAUCCCUGACUGGCAACUGGAGCUGAGGAGGGACGCACGAGAGCUAGCCACACCCUGAAUGGAUUGGGAGGGGUCUACGGACUCCGCGUGGUGAAGGGUAGUGCCAAGAAAAGCUCGUAGGCGAUGAAGGUUGUCACCCGUACCCGAAACCGACACAGGUGGGUGGGUAGAGGAUACCGAGGGGCGCGAGAUAACCCUCUCUAAGGAACUCGGCAAAAUGACCCCGUAACUUCGGGAGAAGGGGUGCCAGCGCGAGCUGGCCGCAGUGAAAGGGCCCAGGCAACUGUUUACCAAAAACACAGGUCUCUGCUAAGUCGCAAGACGACGUAUAGGGGCUGACGCCUGCCCAGUGCCGGAAGGUUAAGGAAGUCGGUUAGCGCAAGCGAAGCUGGCGACCGAAGCCCCGGUGAACGGCGGCCGUAACUAUAACGGUCCUAAGGUAGCGAAAUUCCUUGUCGGGUAAGUUCCGACCCGCACGAAAGGCGUAAUGAUCUGGGCGCUGUCUCGGAGAGGGACUCGGCGAAAUAGACUUGUCUGUGAAGAUGCGGACUACCUGCACCUGGACAGAAAGACCCUAUGAAGCUUUACUGUAGCCUGGAAUUGGGUUCGGGCCUUGCUUGCGCAGGAUAGGUGGGAGACUGGGAAGUACCCCUUGCGGGGGGUAUGGAGUCGCCGGUGAGAUACCACUCUGGCAGGGCUAGAAUUCUAACUUUCCGCCCGGAAGCGGGGGAAAAGACAGUUUCAGGUGGGCAGUUUGACUGGGGCGGUCGCCUCCUAAAAGGUAACGGAGGCGCGCAAAGGUUCCCUCAGACUGGUUGGAAAUCAGUCGUAGAGUGCAAAGGCAUAAGGGAGCUUGACUGCAAGACCUACAAGUCGAGCAGGGACGAAAGUCGGCCUUAGUGAUCCGACGGCGCUGAGUGGAAGGGCCGUCGCUCAACGGAUAAAAGUUACUCUAGGGAUAACAGGCUGAUCUCCCCCAAGAGUUCACAUCGACGGGGAGGUUUGGCACCUCGAUGUCGGCUCAUCGCAACCUGGGGCGGAAGUACGUCCCAAGGGUUGGGCUGUUCGCCCAUUAAAGCGGUACGUGAGCUGGGUUCAGAACGUCGUGAGACAGUUCGGUCCAUAUCCGGUGCAGGCGCGAGAGGAUUGAGAGGAGCUCUCCCUAGUACGAGAGGACCGGGAGGGACGCACCGCUGGUGUACCAGUUAUCGUGCCAACGGUAGACGCUGGGUAGCCAUGUGCGGAGUGGAUAACCGCUGAAAGCAUCUAAGUGGGAAGCCCACCUCAAGAUGAGUCCUCUGUUAAGGUCCCGGGAAGACGACCCGGUAAUAGGCUCUAGGUGGAAGUGCAGCAAUGCAUGCAGCCGAGGAGUCCUAAUAGACCGUCUGCUUGACCC